Non-coding RNA from Felis catus (domestic cat), 85 nucleotides. NCBI's taxonomy places the organism in Eukaryota, Metazoa, Chordata, Mammalia, Carnivora, Felidae. The record is from Rfam.
GCCUGGGUGGCUCAGUCAGUUGAGCGGCCGACUUCGGCCCAGGUCACGAUCCCACAGUUUGUGGGUUCGAGCCCCACGUCGGGCU